UCAGCGAGACUCCGUGGGCGUGGGACCCUCCGAGCCAGAAGUGACUCUCCAGGGGAGCUAAAAUCCAUGUAUUUGGGCACACACUUGAACAAUAUUGCUAGAGAAAUUUAAGCAAGAGCACAAAGGCACUACGUUGUCUGGGAUGAUGGAAGGAGCUAAAGUCUUCAGUGAAUGAAGGAGCAGGACCAGGAGCUCAAAAUACUUCUUUGAAGACAAAGAAGAAAUGAUAUUACCAAAUGGUUGGCUCAAAAGAACAGGGAUUUUGCAACAGAGAGAGUAUGUCAUGGUCUUGAACAAGCAAUGUUUUGCCAGGACGAUUAAAUAUCAUUGAUGCUUCUGGUCUACAAUUAGUCAGAGAAGAGAUUAAAAAAAUGAUGAGUAUUCAAGAAGGAAAGUGUUUGCUUUAACAUAUGAAGAAAAGGAGCUUCAGAGUGGUGAUUAACCCCAGAAUUGUGUGGAACGGAUAUGGAAACAAGACCACAGGAGCAUCGAGAACUGAGCAGAACUGAAGGUGACAUGAAAAUCAGCUGCAAGAUUCACCUCAGGGUGAUAAUGGGCUGCAGGUGGCUGCAGGAAUCCCGGGACAUUCUAGGCACUGCCAUAUUUUCUUAGGGGCCAGUAAGGAUGGCUAUCAUCAGAUGUACCUGAUGAUACAAACAUGGGCUGUCUUGCCUUCUAGUAUUCAUUCUUGAUGAUUGCAUCCAGAGCUCACUUUGGAGGUGCAGAUCAACUCUUCUUCAGGCUCAUCCAUGCGACUUGAGUGGGCUCUCAUCCCCAUUCCCAGGGGCUUAUGACAAUCAAGGUUUCCACUCCUCCAUGGUCUCAAUGGUUUUUCUCCCCAUGGGAAGCACAUAAUCCCAUUAGAGGCCACGGGAAGCUUUUUUGUUGGGCUUUGAGGGAAAAAAGGCUUUUGCAGCCAAUGAAUCGAUCAAUGUGUACUUCAACCUGGAUUGUAUGUAUGCAUCUCCUAGAUUGGGCGGAUGAUGAAGUGAGGCUGGAAGUGCUGAGCAUCUUCCUACCUGGGAUGACUGGGCUGAGCAGGAAGCCUACCCCGGGGUUCCAGCCAAGUUGGAGCCUGUGAGUGUGUGGUGUAGUUUAACGCCCUGAUUAAAUCACUAGGAAGCCAUUUCUCUCUCUCCUCCCAGACCAGAUCAGACAAUAUGUUCCCUUAUUUCUACUAAAGCCCCAAUUGGAUUUUGUGUCUUUUGAUACUGAAAGAAUCUUACCACAAAUAAAAUAAUUUGUCAUGUGGCUCCUACAUAUUUAUUCAGUUACAUAAACUAACUAAAUAAAUGAAUAAACUGUCAAUAAUGGUAGUUCCUCAUCUAUGAAUGACUCUUUACAAAGCCUAUCUCGCUUAAUAGUCAUAAUAAAUACUGAAGUAGAUACUAUUUAUACCUUUUUUUUAAAAGGAAUUAAAUAUUUUCAGGGUUAUACAAAGCAUGAGUAUUGUGGGUACAAAUUCAAGCUUUCUAACUCAAAUUUGAAGACUUAUCCCCAGGAUACUUUUACAUCUUUAGCUAGUACCAUGUAUACCUCAAAAGCUUACAUUAUUUUUCACAUGUGUUAGGUUUUGAGGGAUAAUCAAUAAGGAGGGCAUACUUUCAGGCUUCUUAUUUAUAACUGUGAAAUUUAGAAAUUGAUGGAGUAGCAGAUUUCUCGGUAGGAGACAGCUGUUUUAAAAUGCCCCAUGUUUUUAUUAAAGUAAAAAUCUCAAAAAUUGUCUUUUAAAAAGUGGCUCUGGCCAAUCUUAGAUAAAACAUCAUUUACUAGACUUAGGAAUUUCCUGUAGUAAAUUUCAGAUUUACUUUUCGGUCUCACAUCAUCAAAGAGAUCAUAACCCUUUGUGCAAUUAUGGUCUUGAACCAAGGCCUAUUCUCUAGGUCACUGCUGUCAGGACUUCAAGAUAAUUGUUUCCAUUGCAGGAUUUGAUUUUUAAUUCCCCGGAUGUUCUUGACGUGGUUCAGUUCUUCAGGAAAUCAUCACCCUCAUGAGCCCUCCCUGCCACUUGCAGAUAGGGCUUUCUCCCGGUAAGUUCUGGAGUCACGGCAGAGCUCAAUAAGUCUGAUUGGGACCUCCUAUGAUUAU
RNAcentral lists this long non-coding RNA (2088 nucleotides) under Homo sapiens (human). RNAcentral describes it as "HSALNT0246958". The record is from RNAcentral. Lineage: Eukaryota; Metazoa; Chordata; Mammalia; Primates; Hominidae.